UGAAAUCUCAACAGGCCCGGACACUGGAAGGAUUGACAGAUUGAUAGCUCUUUCUUGAUUCGGUGCGUGGUGGUGCAUGGCCGUUCUUAGUUGGUUGAGUGAUUUGUCGGCUUAAUUUGACUCAACGCGGGAAAUCUCACCAGGCCCGGACACUGGAAGGAUUGACAGAUUGAUAGCUCUUUCUUGUUAGCAAUAA
Molecule: ribosomal RNA, 196 nt
Filed under: uncultured eukaryote
Lineage: Eukaryota
Description: partial 18S ribosomal RNA
Rfam family: Eukaryotic small subunit ribosomal RNA
Source: RNAcentral